This is a non-coding RNA of Danio rerio (zebrafish), 2411 nucleotides long. NCBI's taxonomy places the organism in Eukaryota, Metazoa, Chordata, Actinopteri, Cypriniformes, Danionidae. The record is from RefSeq and is a predicted model, not a curated record.
CAAAACUGGUUUUCCUUCGUCUGUGAAACAAAAUAAAUGAGUCACAUAUACACACUAUAUGAAAUCAAAUGCCCGUCAAAAGUGAAAUCGUUUAUCUCGUUUGUUGCUAGAUCAGAUAUGGUUGCUGUCGGAAGUUAACAAGAAUACAUUUAUAUUAUUUAUUAAAUUUCCUAUUUAUUGCAUUUUAUGAACGUCUCACCCUAAACCCAACCGCAAUGUAAAAAUAGUGUAAUGGAGUAUUAUUUAUUACAUUACCCAAUAAAUUGUAUUUUACCCCUCACCUUAACUCUUAACCCAACCGUCACAGUACUGUAAAAAUAUUCAAUAUUGUUAUGCAUUGUUAAAAAAUGAUGGCAACGCUAUACUGAUGCUUAUCCGCAGCUAUCCCGUCCACCUCAUACAUUUGAAUUUUAAACGUAACGUUAUUAUAUAAUCGACUUUCACUUACAAUUAUAACAACUUUUCACGUAAAAGAAAGUUCUGGAUAAUUGAAUAUAUGAUUAAAGACGUUUUUGUGGGGAUAAAAUAUCCCUUAAUGAGUAAAACUUCAUCCCGUUCGACUGGAUUACUACCACACAUCAGGUAAUUUUGGCCUUUCUGUCUUUGAGACAUAUUUUGACGACAUAUUGUGCAGUAAUUUGUCAGACCACAUGUAGCUUUGUUUUGAUACAAACUAGUCGUUUGAGCGAGGAUCCAAAAACGUGCGAGACGGAGUGCAAAUCUGAGGGAUCAGGAUCGAUGUGACCUUAAAAGCUUUUAACCUGCUCUGUGCCACUCAGUUACAGCUGUGAAGUUUUGCAUGGCAACAACCUCGCCGCUCAAAGUAAGGGGCGAUCUAUAUCCGACCAACUUCUUUCAAAAACGAAAACAUGCCUUUAGUUGUGUUCACAUAUUGUCUCGCUCUCGCAUUGAAGUCUUGUUUAAUUAAACAUUUCGAAUAAGAGUCGUUAUUGACUCCUGUAACGCGCGACUUGCCUGUCAACUUUUGUUUGUUGUUUUUGAAGUUCGCUAGUGUUGAAAUCUGCACAGCAACAAGCGCCAUGAUUGCGUUUGCGGAGUGCCCUAGUAACUGGCGCGCGCGGUUUCUAUCCAAUAAAAGAGCGCGUGAUGUGUUCGCAGUUAUGCGGUGGAACUGUUUUUCCCAACAUCCAUACUUUUCAUGGGAUUAUUGCAUUAUUAUAGAAACUAUUUAUUUUGACUUACCUCACGUUCUUGACCUUUGGGUGACUAGUAAGCAGAUGUCGAGGUAAAUGGACCAAAUGAAGGUUUCAAGUGAACAUCUUUAGUUCGCUCUAAAUGGAAACCUGGAAAAUUGGCAGACGUCUGUCCAAUUUCAAGCACGUUGCUAAUCUGCAGCGAUGGGUGGAUAUGAUUGCAGAAGUGCUCUGUGCACAAAAUCUUUUGCACACGGUUUGGUCAGUUCUGGUAAUAUGGUACCUGUUCUGAGAAAAACGUGAUAAUCACGCCAUUCUUACACAACCUGUCUUUCUCUCACUGAUGAAACCACCGUUAUCAGGUAAGUGUGCAGCAUUGAAAUCCACUGUAGUCAAAGCUUUAUUUUAUUACAUUAGCUUUAACAAACCAUGAUGAUAACUUCAGAAAGCCAAUGACUUUUCAAAACUCAAGCUUAAAAUUGAUCCUAAAUUUAUUUGAAUAUUCAAACAGAACCCACGAGUAGAUUCAAAUCAGCCGAGACAUGCAUUUUUAAAGAACUAAAUGAGUAAGCUAAACAACAAAGUACGCUUUUGUUCUAAAUCCUCUUUGAAAUGACUCUUACGUAGCGAGUGUAAGAAAUAAUUGACAUGACUCGUGUGCAAAGUGCAAAAUGAGUGGGCUAUUAAUAACAAUCAUUUCAGGCAUGACUAACUUGCAAUAUUUAUCAUGUUCUAUUUCUGAUGUUAGUUGUUUUUGUAAACCCUCCCCCCAGGUUUCUGUUCCAUUCAGCAUGUGCUCGUAUGCUUUUGUACCAGGUGAGCCCACACUGACAAUAAACUUUUGGAGUCACACAAGCGAGAGGACAGUGAAGCAUCUGCUGUCUAUAAGGCUAAAAUUACAGGUUAUGAAAAGAGGACUUCUGGGAGAACAAAAAAAUGAAAAGUGUUCGUGGACAAAAGCUUGUAGCCUCCCACAUUAUAAUAUUUACUUAUGUUGUUUGCUCUGUCUGUAUGCCUUUCACCUUUUUUUUUUCUCUUUUGUCAGGUACUUCAUGAGAAUAUAGACAUUUUUAGGCUAUUCUAUACAUUUCAUGCACUACAAAUUCACAUUUCUUAUAUUUCUUUUAUAGGCAAUAAUAAGGUUAAAUCAGUGGUGUACUUACAGUCACUUGAGUCUGUCACAGCUCAGUGUCAUGCCGUGUGCUCUACAUUCCUUUCCUGGAGAAAACAAAAAUAAAGACAUUCAUGAAGCACAAA